Molecule: long non-coding RNA, 8777 nt
Filed under: Capsicum annuum
Lineage: Eukaryota; Viridiplantae; Streptophyta; Magnoliopsida; Solanales; Solanaceae
Description: long non-coding RNA (CANN_LNC009222)
Source: RNAcentral
AAUUUUGCUGCCAAUUUUUGUGCUGUUCAAAAGUACAUGCACAUUUCAUGAAAGUACAUUUGUUGAUCUUUUCGUCAUUCAACCUUAUUUAUAACUUCACUAUCAGUUUGAAUAUCAAAUUUUAGAAAUUGGGACAUAUAUUAAACAAACAAUGUUAGGUAAACUCAUAUAAAUUGUGUGGCACAAUUUUCCUGCCAAUUGUUGGACACUCAAUUUUGAUUUGUCUUUUUCUUUAAUUAUUUUUUCUAUGCUUGCUUCUCAGUUCUAAAAAAAAAAUUGAAAUAAAUCAGAAAGAGUUAGCACGACCAUCAUUACGUUGCGGACUGUUUCAACCGAUUUGAAAUAUGACUCUACAGCGUGGCGACUCUGCUAGAGAAAGUACAUGCACAUUUUAUGGAAGUGCAUUUGUUGAUCUUCUCGUCAUCCAACUUUAUUUAUAACUUUACUAUCAUCCAACUUGAUUUAUCUUUUAUAUUGUUAUAUGUUAGUGAAUUUAUCUAUUCCCUAGAGUAAACCAUCAUGGUCUCAAAAGUACUGUGAAAUGUCGUCGAUUCAGACGUUUUUCCGUCAAGUUUCUGUCUCAACUCUCUUCUCUUCUCAUUCAUAAACCCCUAGCUAUCGUACAGUUUCCAUCAAAUUCACCAUCUUAUGUUGUUCAGCGACGUCUCCUGUGACUAUCGUUAACGAUAAUGUGGAUAGAACUCGAACUCGGGUUGCCUAGCAAAGGCUUCUCUCGAUCUUUUCAAGGUAUACAAACUCCUUCGUAGAUUUGCUGAAUUUAUCCUCUUAUUAUGACGAUGAAAUGCUUAAUUUAACUUGUCUAUUUCCUUGCUGGUGAAUUACUGAAUUGUUAGCUAUCAGUUGGGCAGGUGAAUUGCAGAAAUUCCAUAGGUCUAUCGCGAUUCUGCUUUAUCACUUAGUAUCUAUUUUAUAUUUGCUAUUCAAUACUAUUUAUUACAUAAUAUAUUUUUCAAAAUAUUAAAUUUAUUAUAGAUUCAAAAGAUAAUAAAAUUAGUUUUGAAUUAUAUUUUUGAAACAUAGAACUUAAAUUUCAGAUAAACACCUGAUUUAUUUGGUUACAUGAAAAAAAUUCUAUCACUGUUGUACAUAUCCAAUCUGGAUGUUUGGUUUCAACGGCCAAAAAAUAUUGUGCGGAAGUUGAUAUCAUGAGAUUUAGACUUUGACAUUAUUGAUCUCGACGCAGUUUGUGAAUAUAAGCAGGUAUGAACUGAGUGUUGUAGACACGUGAUUUUGAUCCUCCCCGAAUUCAAUAUAUAUAUUUUUCGAUAUUAAAUAUUUAUAUUUGAUCUAAUAUUAUUUAUAUUAUUAAAUUUAAAAAAAAAAUAUGUUUCUUUUUAAAUAAAUAAGUUAGUAGUUUUAGUACUAUCUUAAUUAUAUUUAUUUUUGGCUAUUUUUAAAAUUUUAUUGUAUUUUCUUAAAUAUAAAACUAAAUAGUUAUUAUUAUAUUAUUUUUAUUGUUAUUAUUAUUUUAUUUAUUUAUUUAUUAUUAUUAUCUUCUUUUAUUAAAAUAAUAAUAAUAAUAAUUUAAAUUUUAAAAAUCCUAUCCUAUCCUAUCCUAACCUACCCCAACCACCCCCUAUUUUUCCUCCAACUCCCUCAACCUCCGACAUCACACUCCUAUAUAUACACACACUACAACACACCGGCAAGAGAUAUACACAGAGGAGAAAAAUAUACAACAUUUGGGGGAGUAACAGUGAACAACAUUUGAAAGGAAAUAGAGAUUAAAAAAGACCAAAAAAUUAAGAAAGGAGAAAAUUUAGAAAAGGAAAAGAAGGCAGAAAGUGAAACAAAAAAAAGGGAAAGAAAAAAAAAGAUUUAGAGUUCGGAUUCCGUUUGAGUUUUUCGGUGAAAGCGUUCUUGUAUCUAUUCUACUACACAGGUUUCUAUUUGAUUCGUUUAUUCAUAUUUUUUUAAAAGUUAUAUAUCAAAGCAUGAAUGUUGUUUAAAUGUUUCAUAUAUUAUUUAGCCUUUAUUGUUGAUCAAUUAUGUGAGUGUUCUUUUUAUUAUUAUUUUAUUUUAUUGUUAACUCUAAAAACCUAUAUUAAUUUCUUCGUACAUGAUUCAAUAUGGGUAAAAUAUGGUACAUCCUUAAUUAGUUUUUAUGAUAUUUGUUGGUUGGUACGUCAAUUUGGUUCCAUGCAUGUUGUCGUUGGGUGUAAAAAAUAAGAAAUAUAUAUUUUUCAUUUUUAUUACACAGAUUAUUAUUAGUAGUAAGAGUGAGUGAAAAUAUAAUUAUUGAAUAAACUUUGGUUUGAUUUUUUUUAGUAGAUCAUUAAUAAUGCAUAAUUAUGUCUUCUUGGUCAAAAGGAAUUCGGUUCCACUCACUGAUAUGAUUAGUUUAAUGAGUUAUGUUUUUAAAAACAAAUAUAAUACUAAAUUUCUUUUACAAAAAAAAAUGCAACAUUAAUUGAAUAGUAAAGUUAAUUUUAAUUAAAAAAUCAAUAAUAUAAUAUUCAAAUUAGAAAGGUUCAAAAGUGUGAAAUAUAUCAUAUUAUUGUUUGUUUGGUUUGAUUUUAUUUUGUGGGACAAAUUAUUCAAGAAUUUGGUUUCUCUUUAGUUAAUGUUCUGGUCAUAUGUUUGAUUUUCUUUUUGGUUUAAUAUUGAAUUAUGUUUGAAUCUGUCUUGGUCACAUAUCCAGUUUAUCCCUUGAUUAUUAUUAAAUUAAUCUUCAAUUUAUAGUACUGUUACUCUUUUAAAGUUGUUCGUUGUUAGUUCACUUCUUGAAAAGCUGUUUAAUAUGCACCAGUUAUUGGCAUUAGACUUACACACUUAAAGGCCAAAUCGGUUAAUUUCGUGAGUAAAAUAAAAAGGAGUUGUGAAUUAAUUCAAGAUUUAUUGCAAAUUUGAAAAAGAAUAAAAUUGAAAGUAGGUAAGGAAAACUAUAGCGAGUUUACAAGAGACGAACCAAUGACUUUAACGCUAGAUGAAGUUUAGGCACGCUUAAAAUGUUCGUCUCAAUUAAGAAUGUGGCGUACGCAUCUUUUCGAGACAUUUAAAAAUACAAGAAUGUAAAAAAUACACCUUGGUAAAUAUUUUCUAAAAUUAACUUGACAGAUAUUUUUCAAUUUUCACCGAUUUAUUUAAUAUGAAAUAAUAGACGAGACUUUAGAUAUAUAAAAUGAGCAAUUUUAGGCCUUAAUGUAAUUUAUCAAAAUAGUUUAAGACAAGAUAAGUUAAUAAAAGCGACCGUGUUAGAACCACGGGACUCGAGGGGUGCCUCACACCUUCCCCUCGGUGAACAAAAUUCCUUACCCGAUUUUCUGUUCUCGUUAAAAAGGAGUUGUGAAUUAAUUCAAGAUUUAUUGCAAAUUUGAAAAAGAAUAAAAUUGAAAGUAGGUAAGGAAAACUAUAGCGAGUUUACAAGAGACGAACCAAUGACUUUAACGCUAGAUGAAGUUUAGGCACGCUUAAAAUGUUCGUCUCAAUUAAGAAUGUGGCGUACGCAUCUUUUCGAGACAUUUAAAAAUACAAGAAUGUAAAAAAUACACCUUGGUAAAUAUUUUCUAAAAUUAACUUGACAGAUAUUUUUCAAUUUUCACCGAUUUAUUUAAUAUGAAAUAAUAGACGAGACUUUAGAUAUAUAAAAUGAGCAAUUUUAGGCCUUAAUGUAAUUUAUCAAAAUAGUUUAAGACAAGAUAAGUUAAUAAAAGCGACCGUGUUAGAACCACGGGACUCGAGGGGUGCCUCACACCUUCCCCUCGGUGAACAAAAUUCCUUACCCGAUUUUCUGUUCUCGUAGACCAACAAAGAGUCAUUUCCUUUUGAUUAGGGAUUCAAAAAGGUGACUUGGAACACCAUAACUCAAUUUCAAGUGGCGACUCUAUUAAUAAACUAAUCCCUAUUCAAUACCGUCACUUUAAUUGGAAAAAAUCCUUCGACCUCGAUCUUUUUCGAGCGAAAAAGGGGUGUAACAUCUCUGGCGACUCUGCUGGGGAAUAAUAAGAAUUCGAGCUUUUGAUAUUGAUAUUACCUGCUUUAAUUAUUUUUGAUAUUGUGUUUAUUGGCCUUAUGUGCUACUUGUUGCUCAUUUACUGCUUUGAUAUUAUCUUAACUAUAUUAAAUAUUGUCUUCUCUCGCGUACCCCCUUUGAGUCUCUGAAAUAGGAUAGAAGGAAUGUAGCAUAUGUGUCCCACCUUCUUUUUGAGAUAGUUGGAGUGUGAAGGCACCUGGUGAAGGAUAUAUUUACAUAUGUUAGGCGGGGUUCGGAUCGGCAAUGAAGGCGGUGUGGCCUGCUACUGACCAAGUUGUCCCUCCCCGGUUUGAGUAUCCGCUCGAGUAAGCCAGUCUAGAUACCUAUCCCUAUCAGGCUUAAACUUAGAAGAACUGAAAACUCAGAAUCUGGUUAUCCCUAUUAGCGGGACUCGGCACAGGGUCUGGGUCUGUCUAGGACAGGUGACCUACUUUAUAAAGACCAACAUGUGCAUUCUACGUUCAUGCACUUUGACAUUUGUUUGGAAGGUUGUUUGUUUGUUGACCGGCUUUAGGCUACUUUAAAAUGCAAGAGAUUAUAUUAUCCUCAAAUUUAGUGAAUCAUUUUUCAAAAGAAAAAUUUUAUCUUUAAAAAAGCAAUAAAAAAUUUUUGUAACAUAAUUUUACAAUCUUUAUGAACUACGAGGGUCUGAUUCUCACUCUUUAGUGGGAUACGUAGGAAGUCCUUCUCAGAAUACGACCCUAUCUUUUGAAAAAUUAUUCAUAAAUUUAUUGGGGAANNNNNNNNNNNNNNNNNNNNNNNNNNNNNNNNNNNNNNNNNNNNNNNNNNNNNNNNNNNNNNNNNNNNNNNNNNNNNNNNNNNNNNNNNNNNNNNNNNNNNNNNNNNNNNNNNNNNNNNNNNNNNNNNNNNNNNNNNNNNNNNNNNNNNNNNNNNNNNNNNNNNNNNNNNNNNNNNNNNNNNNNNNNNNNNNNNNNNNNNNNNNNNNNNNNNNNNNNNNNNNNNNNNNNNNNNNNNNNNNNNNNNNNNNNNNNNNNNNNNNNNNNNNNNNNNNNNNNNNNNNNNNNNNNNNNNNNNNNNNNNNNNNNNNNNNNNNNNNNNNNNNNNNNNNNNNNNNNNNNNNNNNNNNNNNNNNNNNNNNNNNNNNNNNNNNNNNNNNUGAUUCUCAUUUUAUUGAGAUACGUAGGCAGUCCUUUAUGGAUUCGGUGAUUUUAAUGAAAAAAUAUAUAUUUGUGUUUCCUUCUAAACAAAUAAAGAAGAGAGUUUUUGAUUUAUAUAUAAAAUAAAUUAAUUUAUUUUUGAAAAUAAAAUGUGUUUUAUAUUAUUAAUAAAUUCAAAAAUAAAAAUAUUUCUCAUUUCUCACAUUAAAAUAAAAAUGUGUUUCUUCAUAUUUACAGCUUUCCGAACUACGCAAGAUCUGAUUCAUGUCCUGGCAUGAUAUGUAGGCAACCCUCUAAAGGGUUCGAUCAUAAUUUUUUGAAAAAAUACACCUAGAAAAGUCAGGAUGAGACACAAAGCCUUCCAUGAUAGGUUGGGAAAUGCAUAUAGAAGCAUGACAUACAACGUGAUAUUAUAAUGUGUUAAAAAUAUAACACUCACCCAUUUGCUACUUGGUCUCAGAAAGAUAAAGUAGUUGGUGGUUGGUUUGUGGUUUAAACUGGCAUCACAUCUGUACAACACUAGAUACAAAGAAAAGAGAAAAAUGACCUACAAAGAGGGUGUAGGAUCUGACAGCGAGGAGGAGCAAAAUCAAUUGAUUUCACAAGAAUUAGUAUCAAUGGAAGAGAUUAAAUUUUUGAAACAACAAAUGUCGAAAAUGUACCAAUUUUGGUUAAAUGGACAAGCCCCGCCUUCCUCAAUUCCUGGACUUGCGAAUAUGUAUGAUCCAAAUCCUGCUCAAGCUCAAAAUAGCGAUCCAUUUUAUCCGCCUGGAUUCAGCCCAUAUGCUAAUGUGUCUGGCGUUGCUGGUACUUCUACCAUGCGCCCACCAAAUUUGUCUGUCAUAAAUAACCCACUUUUCACUUCUGUAGCACCAGCUACUGCGGGUCUUCAAUCGACAGUACAAAAGAAUAUGGGUGAACCAAGUCAUGAUGAAUUGUAUCCCCCUGAAAUGAUUUUCAAAACCCUAAAUCCAUAUUAUCAUGCUCAUCAACAAGAUUCUCCUAUUGUGAUUGAGAAGAUUGUUAAAAGUGAAGAAUGGGAAGAGAUGGCCAGGAAAGUGAGAAGUUUAGAGCAAAGUAUGAGAAAUAUGCAAGAAUUAGGAGGACCAAAAAGUUUUUCAUACAAAGAUUUAUGUAUGUUUCCCGACGUUCAUUUGCCGCUAGGGUUCAAAAUGUCAAAGUUUGAUAAGUAUGAAGGAAACGGUGAUCCGAUGGCACACUUGAGGCGUUAUUGUAACCAAUUAAGAGGUGCUGGAGGUAAAGAAGAAUUACUCAUGGCUUAUUUUUGGUGAGAGCCUUACAAAUCUAACCUCAGAGUGGUUUGUAGAUCAAGACAUCGACAAAUGGAGUAGUUGGAAUGACUUGGCUAAGGAAUUCAUUCAACAAUUUAAGUACAAUGUCGAGCUGAUUCCUGAUGAGAAAUCCCUAACUAAUAUCAAGAAACAGAACAAUGAAAAUUUCAGGGAGUAUGCAAUUAGAUGGCGUGAACAAGCUGCUAGGGUGAGACCACCAAUGAAAGAAAGCAAGAUAGUGGAGGUGUUUAUUCAAGCACAGGUUGAAACAUAUUAUCAACACUUGUUACCUGCAUUAGGCAAACCAUUUAUUGAGGUCCUCAAAAUAGGAGAGAUGAUAGAGGAUGGAAUUAAAUCCGGUCGCAUUGUGAGUUUUGCAACAUUAAAAGCAACUACUCAAGUAAUUCAAAAGGGAAGUGUUGGAGAGAAAAAGAAUGAGGAAGAUGCAUCUACUAUUGCAGUUGGACCACGGGAACGGUCAAGAAGACCACGUCGUCAUCGUUCUCAGGCUCAAGACCAAGUUCAUGCCCAAGCUCCACAUAAUCACUCCCAAAGUCCAUUAUACUCCAGUCCUCCACCUCCAUAUCCAGUGUAUAAUGCAGAACCAUAUGUUCAACCCCUAUCUUACCUACAAUGGCACACACCAACUCCUCAAAGUCAUCCUCUAAUUCCACAAAUAUACCAAAACCUUUCUAAGCCUGAUUUUUUAUCCAAGCCAAAUAAUGAAAUAAGGCAGAAGUCGAGAGAUAGCUUCACACCAAUUGGAGAGUCAUAUGCCAGUUUAUUUCAAAGAUUGGAACAGGAGGGCAUGAUUACUCCUCUCCUUAGGCACACUCUUAAUCUCCGUUCAAGAAAUUUUGAUCCUAAUGCACGGUGUGUAUAUCAUUUUGAUGCUCAGGGUCAUAGUAUUGAAGAUUGUCGAGAUUUAAAAAGAGAAAUUGAAAAGAUAAUUCAAGAUAAAUCAAUUAUGGUGCAGAAUAUGGACAGUGAGGAAAGCUCUAGUCAUGAUGGUAUGCAAAUUGGAGGCUAAGAUGUCAAGCUUAACAAUUGAGAAGUCACCCAUCUCCCUGUUAGGAUAGAUGUUUGGUAGUUAAUAUUGUUAUUUUUUCUGUUAUCUGAAUUAUUUCAGGGUUGUAGUUCGGGAUCUAUCUUGUUUUGUACCUCUGUUGUUUAUGUUCAAACCCUUCUAUCUUUUAUUUUCUACUAAAUAGAACAGUUUUUUUCUCCUUUAUGUUUUAAAUAUGUGUUGUUUUUUUUUUUGUUUCUUUACACAAUACAUUUUAUGUUGGUUCUAGUAAUAUGACAUACCUGUGAAAUUUCAGUCAGAUCUUGAAAUCAAAGGGCUAAAGUUAGAAAAAAAUUGAGAAAAUAGGUAGAGUGCGGAUACAUUUGGUGACAAGUUAAAGCCUUUUCUGAAAAUUAAGGCAAUUAUUUUGAGAAUUAUGAGAAUCACUUGGUCAUCAAUUGAAAGACAUGUCUCAAUUAGGUCAAAUAAUGGAUGCGAGGUCCUUAUUCAAGAGAAACAGAAAGAUAAUCAGCACCACGAAAGCUUGGAUCAUUUGAUGUGAGGGAUGUACUACAAAGGUGGAAUAGUAUGCUGAGCAAGUGUAAAAGAAGAAGUGGCAAACAUACUCAGUUAAAGUUAGUGUUGUUAAAGUAUCACAUAUGUUCUUCAUCUCCCACUUUCAUAUUGCAUGUUAUGUACUUGCAUUUUCAAGGAUUGAUAUGACGAAGGCAUUUCAUUCUUCUAUCCAAAUGUUGUUAUCCCUUUUGAUCUUUUGUUUUAUUUCUUUUAUAUCACUCUUUUGGAAUCAAAAUAGAGUGAAAAAAAUUAUAAAAAAAAAAGUGUCAAGAAAAAGAAUAGUCAGAAAAGUGUAAGAAAAAAUGAAGUCGGGAAAAAUCUUUCUCAAAAAAAAAGAAGAAAAAGAGAGAAGAGUCAAGAAAAAAACAAAGAGAAAGAAAAUCAAGCAGAAGAAUAAGUUGUCUGAACUACGUUUGACCUGAUUCUUGCUAUGACAAGAUACGUAGGCAACCCUACUCUGGGGUUCGGUCCAACCAAAAGAAAAUUUAAAUUACCCAGAAUGAGAUAAAACUGGGGCAAAGUUUAUUUCCUUAAAAGAGUCGAUUCCAAAAGUUGUAUGUUAUACCUAAUAUUAUGUAAAUUUUUGAGGCUCACGCCUGUAGACAAGUAAUUUCGUCCUUCCCCGAUAUUGUUUUAUCCAUUUUUACCUUAUCCUACCCAUGUAAUUACAUCCCACAAAAAUACAAAAAAUAACUCUCAACAAAAUCCCUAACAAACUUUUAUUCUUUUUAAUAUCGUAACAACACACCCAAUUUAAAAUAGACACCUAACCCUUAUCCCUUCAAUUAAAA